RNAcentral lists this unclassified non-coding RNA (146 nucleotides) under soil metagenome. Its description in RNAcentral is "partial internal transcribed spacer 1". The record is from RNAcentral.
UAAUAAGUGUUUUACGGCACUUCUUAAAUCCAUAUCCACCUUGUGUGCAAUGUCAGUCGAUCUUCUUCAUGGAGAUCGACCAAACAUCAACCUUUAUCUUUUAACAUCUUUGUCUGAAAAAUAUUAUGAAUAAACAAUUCAAAAUA